CGACCGGCGCACGGGUGAGUAACACGUAUGCGACCUGCCCGUAGCAGGGGGAUAAGCGGAAGAAAUUCCGUCUAAUACCGCGUAAUAUCUUUCGGGGGCAUCCCUGAGGGAUUAAAGGAAGUGAUUCCGGCUACGGAUGGGCAUGCGGCGCAUUAGCUAGUCGGCGGGGUAACGGCCCACCGAGGCGACGAUGCGUAGGGGUUCUGAGAGGAAGGUCCCCCACACUGGUACUGAGACACGGACCAGACUCCUACGGGAGGCAGCAG
RNAcentral lists this ribosomal RNA (266 nucleotides) under uncultured bacterium. RNAcentral's name for it is "partial 16S ribosomal RNA". It matches the Rfam family "Bacterial small subunit ribosomal RNA", at positions 92 to 354 of the family's 1533-position model. The record is from RNAcentral.